UAAAAACGUAGAUAUAAAUUUUCAUAUCCAACUUUAUCAUCCGUAUUAUUUAAUUUUUUUAUAAUCACUAUUUUUAUUAUUAUUAGGUGAUAAAAUAUAAAUAGUGUUUUAUACGUGAUAUAUGUUUUUUCAUAUUUUUAAAUAAGAUGGAUGAUUAAAUUAUACACGGAAAAUUAUGGUUGCGUUUAAA
Molecule: microRNA precursor, 190 nt
Filed under: Oryza punctata
Lineage: Eukaryota; Viridiplantae; Streptophyta; Magnoliopsida; Poales; Poaceae
Description: MIR812 microRNA precursor family
Rfam family: MIR812 microRNA precursor family
Source: Rfam by way of RNAcentral